CGGGUGAGUAACGCGUAUGCAACCUACCUAUCAGGAGGGGAAUAACCCGGCGAAAGUCGGACUAAUACCGCAUAAAACAGGGGCACCGCAUGGUGAUAUUGUUAAGGAAAUUCGCUGAUAGAUGGGCAUGCGUUCCAUUAGGUAGUUGGUGAGGUAACGGCUCACCAAGCCGACGAUGGAUAGGGGAACUGAGAGGUUGGUCCCCCACACUGGUACUGAGACACGGACCAGACUCCUACGGGAGGCAGCAGUGAGGAAUAUUGGUCAAUGGGCGGGAGCCUGAACCAGCCAAGUCGCGUGAAAAGGAAGAAGGAUCUAUGGUUCGUAAACUUCUUUUGCAGGGGAAUAAAGUGCGGGACGUGUCCUGUUUUGUAUGUACCCUGAGAAUAAGGAUCGGCUAACUCCGUGCCAGCAGCAGC
RNAcentral lists this ribosomal RNA (419 nucleotides) under uncultured bacterium. Its description in RNAcentral is "bacterial SSU rRNA". It matches the Rfam family "Bacterial small subunit ribosomal RNA", at positions 103 to 518 of the family's 1533-position model. The record is from RNAcentral.